AUAUUUUCCUAUAUCCCGAAAAUAGGAAAAGAAAGAAUUUUAGAAUUUAUCGCGCGAUAGAGAUUCAGAAUAACAAUGGAGAACACGCAUGAAACGCACGAUAUUCGGAUAACAACAUAUAAAGUCGAGUAUCUUCGAUCCUGUGUACGCGCACCGUAUGUAAUCGUAUAGUCAUAAUUUUGCUACAAUAUACAUGUAGCGCACGGUUGCGUGUCAUGAAACGCAAAUGCGCAUUCCUCAUUGGAACACGUAGUUUGAUUUAUGCUCACGAACUCUCACAGUGUUUCCAGGACUACACACUACACGUGAGAGAUAAUAGUGUGAAUCAACCUCGGUCUAAUCCAUCCAAACUUUCACGCUUUCGGUAAUUUAAUUCUUCUUUCGAUUAAUCAUAUCACGUGAAUCAUAUAAUUCGAUUUUUUUAAAUAAUCAUCUUUUUGAUUUUAUUUUAUUUUAAUUGUCUCUUUGAUACGAGUGGUUAAUUAUACUACGUAAAUAAAUCGCGGCGCAUACGAUUAUUUUUCGUAAUUAUUUUUUUUUAAUUUAUUUUAUUUUUAAUUUAAUUAUCAACAAUUAUCAAAAACUUAUUUUACGAACAGUAUCUGAUAUUUAACCACACUGAUGACAAUAGCGAGGAUCAAAUUUAGAACGUUUAUUGUCCUUCCGCAUGCAAUCGAGUAUGCAGAAGCCAUUCGAAAAACACAUUUAGAACUUCUUGUUGAAUAGUCACGUUUUUAAAAAAAGCAGAAAGAAGAAUUCAACUAUAUCGCUAAGAAUUUUUUAAUCCAAGGAUAAUUAAAAUUUUCCAAGGUUGCAAAACGUGUGAAACGAAUUUUGGCGUUGUUUAGAUAAAACGAUAAGAAACCAUGGAAUGACCAGCCAGUUCUUCCUCCUGUCUCCUUCACUCUAUUAGAUUUUUAUCCGCGAGUUAAAGUAAAAAAAAUGUGGUUUAUCACGACGAAGCCAACAACACAGCGCAGGAUAUAAGAGAAAAAAA
This is a long non-coding RNA of Apis dorsata (giant honeybee), 997 nucleotides long. RefSeq lists it as uncharacterized. The transcript has 3 exons. The record is from RefSeq and is a predicted model, not a curated record. NCBI's taxonomy places the organism in Eukaryota, Metazoa, Arthropoda, Insecta, Hymenoptera, Apidae.